GUGUUGUUGGGUAGGGGAGCGUUCUGUAAGCCUGUGAAGGUGUACUGUGAGGUAUGCUGGAGGUAUCAGAAGUGCGAAUGCUGACAUAAGUAACGAUAAAGCGGGUGAAAAGCCCGCUCGCCGGAAGACCAAGGGUUCCUGUCCAACGUUAAUCGGGGCAGGGUGAGUCGACCCCUAAGGCGAGGCCGAAAGGCGUAGUCGAUGGGAAACAGGUUAAUAUUCCUGUACUUGGUGUUACUGCGAAGGGGGGACGGAGAAGGCUAUGUUGGCCGGGCGACGGUUGUCCCGGUUUAAGCGUGUAGGCUGGUUUUCCAGG
Molecule: ribosomal RNA, 316 nt
Filed under: Escherichia coli
Lineage: Bacteria; Pseudomonadati; Pseudomonadota; Gammaproteobacteria; Enterobacterales; Enterobacteriaceae
Description: partial 23S ribosomal RNA
Rfam family: Bacterial large subunit ribosomal RNA
Source: RNAcentral